CUCCAACAACUUCAGAUAGGAAUUGGAAUCCUAAGGUCACCGAAGUCAAACGGAACUCUAGAGCUUAUCUAUUUAAGAGUCCUUUAACCCUAUAAUUAAGACCACCCAAAAUCGAUCACCACUGCCUCCUUUUUUUUUUUUCUUCUUCUACUUGAAUUCUCCAAACCUUAUUACCAUGACCACCAGAAUUGCAAUCACAACACUUGUGAAGCCAAGGUAAUAACCCCAAUCUCCCUUCUCCUAUGUUAAAACUCAUCAUUAGCCUAAAAAUCUACUAGAAAUUGAUCAAGAAAAACCUCCUAUUUGCUUUCUCUAUUACAUCCGUUUGUUUUUCUAUUUAUCCGGCUAUCACCAUUGCUAGUGCUAGUCGCUAAGACUCUCAACCACUACGCCAUGACUAAAUGCUAGAGCCAUAGCCUCUAAUAAGCGAGCUGGAACCCAAAAUUGAUCAAGCUAAGAGAUCUCCUUUUCGGCUAUGUUUUCAAAUCGAUCACAUGAUUCUCUGUCUCGAUCACCAACACUAGUCGCUCCCUAUUGCCUGAUGUCAGGCUAUUGGUUGUGCCACCAUUCCUCACUAGACCACCACCCCUUCCUUUUUGUUCCUCUUCCUUUAGAGAUGGCAUGAAGAGCCCUUCCUCCUCAUCUAUUUUACAAAAAGAAGAAGAAGAAGAAAGCAAAAAAAACAAAAAGGAUCCAAUCUCCCAUUUAAAUCCUUCUCUCUCGAUUUGAUCUAUGAUUCAGAGUUGAGGAUCUCGUAC
This 758-nucleotide long non-coding RNA is filed under the name Elaeis guineensis (African oil palm). RNAcentral describes it as "long non-coding RNA (EGUI_LNC026702)". The record is from RNAcentral. Lineage: Eukaryota; Viridiplantae; Streptophyta; Magnoliopsida; Arecales; Arecaceae.